AAUAUCCACUCAAUAAUAUGAAAACACGAUGAAAACAAACGAACCAGCAGCAGAAAAGAAAUUUGAGUAUAAGAUUAUUGAAAGAUUAAUUAAUGAAGACUUAAUGGAACAGGAUUGGAAUGCAGAAACUUUGGACUUAAUUCAUGAAUAAUAUCAAUGGAUGAUGAAGAAAACUGACCAAACUGACAAAGUAUUUCGUAUGCAUGUUAACUGGACAUUUUUGUUUGUUUAAUGCACAAUAAACAAAUUUGUAAAAUUGAAAAUUAAAACCAUUUGUGAAAGAUUUCAAGAGGACCAAAAGUUACCAUGGACUUAUGAAUGAUUUAACCAGAAAAAUGAUUUACAUGUACAAUUAAGUAAAUACAUCUUUGACUAAAAAAUGAUAAUUUAUCAACGUUAAUAUUUUCGUUUAAAAGGUCUUAAAUGUGGAUGAUGUAUAAACUGUUGUAAUUUCUUUAAUUGUUGACUUGCAUUAAAAUGGUUAUUGUCUUA
Long non-coding RNA from Mytilus californianus (California mussel), 492 nucleotides. RefSeq lists it as uncharacterized. NCBI's taxonomy places the organism in Eukaryota, Metazoa, Mollusca, Bivalvia, Mytilida, Mytilidae. The transcript is spliced from 2 exons. The record is from RefSeq and is a predicted model, not a curated record.